GUCUUCGUAGUGUAAAUGGAAGCACGCUUGAUGCGUAUUCGGGAGGUCCGGAGUUCGAAUCCCGGCGAGGGCA
Molecule: transfer RNA, 73 nt
Filed under: Stegodyphus mimosarum
Lineage: Eukaryota; Metazoa; Arthropoda; Arachnida; Araneae; Eresidae
Rfam family: tRNA
About the family: Transfer RNA (tRNA) molecules are approximately 80 nucleotides in length. Their secondary structure includes four short double-helical elements and three loops (D, anti-codon, and T loops).
Source: Rfam by way of RNAcentral